GACAGAGGGGGCAAGCGUUGCUCGGAAUUACUGGGCGUAAAGGGCUCGUAGGCGGCCAACUAAGUCAGACGUGAAAUCCCCAGGCUCAACCUGGGAACUGCGUCUGAUACUGGAUGGCUUGAAUCCGGGAGAGGGAUGCAGAAUUCCAGGUGUAGCGGUGAAAUGCGUAGAUAUCUGGAGGAAUACCGGUGGCGAAGGCGGCAUCCUGGACCGGCAUUGACACUGAGGAGCGAAAGCCAGGGGAGCAAACGGG
RNAcentral lists this ribosomal RNA (253 nucleotides) under uncultured bacterium. RNAcentral's name for it is "partial 16S ribosomal RNA". It matches the Rfam family "Bacterial small subunit ribosomal RNA", at positions 524 to 776 of the family's 1533-position model. The record is from RNAcentral.